UUCGCCACGGUCACCACCACAAAACUAACCGGCAAGGAACCGAUAAGCCAAAUUCCUUCUCUCUCCCUUCUCCUAACGACGCAGAAAUAAAAGAAUGCUUCUGCUGCCGCCCCCAAUCCCCGCUCGCUUCCCCUCUAUUCAACUAUCUUCUCCAAUCACACGUCUUCAUGUGAGCCUCCAAACAUCCUUCUGUACGGCGGCCGCCGCCACUGAAACCUCUAUCACGCUCUCAAUUGAUAAAGAUAGAGAUAGAGAUAGAAAUGACGAUGAAAAUGAUGACCAAAACGACGCUCUUUCUCUUCACAAGCGCCGUUACGACUUCUCUCCAUUACUCAACUACCUCUCCCACUCCAACUUGGAAUCUGACUUGGACUUCGACUCAGCCUCACCCACUUCACUCGACCCUAUCGAGUUCCAGCUGGCUGAGUCAUACCGCUCGGUACCUGCUCCGCUUUGGCACUCUCUCUUGAAAUCUUUAUGUUCCUCUUCUUCGUCGUCCUCUUCCGCUUCUAUCAAUUUAGCGUACGCAGUCGUUUCAUGGCUUCAAAGACACAACCUUUGUUUCUCCUACGAGCUUCUCUACUCAAUUUUAAUCCACGCCCUUGGCCGCUCCGAGAAGCUAUAUGAAGCGUUUUUACUCUCUCAGAGGCAGACCCUUACUCCCUUAACAUACAACGCUUUAAUCAACGCGUGCGUCCGCAACAACGAUCUCGAAAAGGCUCUUAAUCUUAUGUCCAGAAUGCGUCAAGAUGGUUACCAUUCAGAUUUCGUGAAUUACAGCUUGAUAAUUCAGUCGCUUACUAGAAACAACAAGAUUGAUUCAUCUGUUUUGGAGAAGCUUUAUGGGGAAAUUGAGUGUGAUAAAAUUGAGGUCGAUAGGCUGCUUUUGAACGAUAUAAUCGUUGGCUUCGCUAGAGCGAAUGAUCCAAGCCGGGCUCUACAGUUUUUAGCUAGGGCGCAAGCAAUUGGGUUGAGCCCGAAAGCGGCUACUCUUGUGGCGAUUAUAUAUUCGUUAGGUUGUUGUGGGAGGAUUGCGGAGGCUGAAGCUGUUUUUGAGGAAAUGAAGGGAAGUGGAUUGAAGCCUAGAACCAGAGCUUACAAUGCGCUUCUUAAAGGGUAUGUGAAAGCGGGUUCUUUGAAAGAUGCAGAGUUAGUUGUAUCCGAGAUGGAGAGAAGUGGGGUUUCACCUGAUGAACAUACUUAUAGUCUUUUAAUUGAUGCUUAUGCGAAUGCCGGCAGAUGGGAGAGCGCUAGAAUAGUAUUGAAAGAGAUGGAAGCCAAUAAUGUGCAGCCGAAUUCUUUUGUUUAUAGUAGGAUUUUAGCUGGUUAUCGAAACAAAGGAGAAUGGCAAAGAUCAUUUCAGGUUUUGAGGGAAAUGAAGAGUAAUGGGAUACAACCAGAUAGGCAUUUUUAUAAUGUGAUGAUUGAUACUUUUGGGAAGCAUAACUGUCUUGAUCAUGCCAUGGAUACGUUUGAUAGGAUGUUAUCAGAGGGGAUUGAACCAGAUACUGUUACUUGGAAUACGCUUAUAGAUUGCCAUUGCAAAGCAGGGCGGCAUGACAGAGCGGAGGAAUUGUUUGAGGAAAUGAAGGAAAAAGGGUAUUCACCAUGUACUACUACGUAUAAUAUUAUUAUAAAUUCAUUUGGAGAACAAGGGAGAUGGGACGAUGUGAAGAGCUUGUUGGGGAAGAUGCAGGGUCAAAGUUUGUUGCCUAAUAUUGUGACAUAUACCACACUUGUAGAUAUUUAUGGAAAGUCUGGGAGGUUUAGUGAUGCCAUUGAUUGCUUGGAGCUUAUGAAGUCUGCAGGGUUAAAACCUUCCUCAACCAUGUAUAAUGCCUUAAUAAAUGCCUAUGCACAAAAGGGUUUAUCUGAGCAAGCAAUAAAUGCAUUAAGGGUUAUGAGAGCAGAUGGCUUAAAGGCUAAUCUCUUGGCUCUCAAUUCACUAAUAAAUGCUUUUGGUGAGGAUAGAAGGGAUGUUGAGGCCUUUGCUGUAUUGCAAUACAUGAAGGAAAACGAUGUGAAACCAGAUGUAGUUACAUAUACCACACUUAUGAAAGCUCUUAUCCGUGUUGACAAGUAUCAUAAGGUUCCAUCUGUCUAUGAAGAGAUGAUUUUGUCUGGUUGCACUCCUGAUAGGAAAGCUAGGGCUAUGUUGCGAUCUGCUCUGAGAUACAUGAAGCAAACAGUGAGGUCAUAGUUGACAAUCCAUAACCCUUAUGACUAAAGCAAUAUAUGAUGGAAAUAACUGUUGUUUGAGUUAUCAAUUUGAGUUUUGGCUCACAAAUGUCAUAGGUUUAAAAGGAUCGACAAUUAAGUCUUUUUGAAUAGAAAUUGAACAGGCCCAUCCUCGUGUGACUCUUGGAAUGAGGAAACUCCAGGAGCUGUAUUCCGAACGAAGCUUGGAAUGAGGAAACUUGUCAUACGCUAGGACUAUUAUACCUAAG
Non-coding RNA from Durio zibethinus, 2447 nucleotides. The record is from RefSeq and is a predicted model, not a curated record. Lineage: Eukaryota; Viridiplantae; Streptophyta; Magnoliopsida; Malvales; Malvaceae.